RNAcentral lists this unclassified non-coding RNA (337 nucleotides) under soil metagenome. RNAcentral's name for it is "partial contains 5.8S ribosomal RNA, internal transcribed spacer 2, and large subunit ribosomal RNA". The stretch from base 1 to 120 matches the Rfam family "5.8S ribosomal RNA", at positions 35 to 154 of the family's 154-position model. The record is from RNAcentral.
GAUGAAGAACGCAGUGAAAUGCGAUAAGUAGUGUGAAUUGCAGAAUUCAGUGAAUCAUCGAAUCUUUGAACGCACAUUGCGCCCCUUGGUAUUCCAUGGGGCAUGCCUGUUCGAGCGUCAUUUGUACCUUCAAGCUGUGCUUGGUGUUGGGUGUUUGUCUCGCCUCUGCGUGUAGACUCGCCUCAAAACAAUUGGCAGCCGGCGUAUUGAUUUCGGAGCGCAGUACAUCUCGCGCUUUGCACUCAUAACGACGACGUCCAAAAGUACAUUUUUACACUCUUGACCUCGGAUCAGGUAGGGAUACCCGCUGAACUUAAGCAUAUCAAUAAGCGGAGGA